UGCAUUUUCCAUGUGAACAAGGAAUGAAAUGUUAAAAGUCAUCCUUUCUUUCCCAACAUCUCCAGCAUCAGUCUUGUAUCUCUCUUGCUUCUGGCUGCCAUAGCUGUUCCAGUGCCUGUGUAAAACCAAGGCCUGCAUCUUCAUGAUCUGCCCACUGAGGUUUUCAAUUGCUGCUUACUCAGGGGCCCACCUCUCCAUCACAGGAAAGAGUAGCUGUCCCCAGGAACAUAACCACCGAGUGACAAGACUUCUACAGAAGUAAGAAUUGACUUCUUGUCCAGUUCAGCACACUGACAUCCAUCAGCUCAAUAUCCCACUGGCACUUGUGGAAGAAGAUUACAAAAUGGAGUCACAUGCAUCAAGAGUACCUUAAAUGGACCCAGGAAGCCAUCAGGGAAGUGCGGCAUAUGCGCCUCUUUACCCAGAGAGUAUGUAAACUUUUGAAUUAUGCUUCACUGCUGGCAUCCUGACCUUCAUUCAAGACAUAUGCUUUCUUGGGGCCAGGCUGGUAGCACCUCAGGAACAGAGAAUGAAAUAACUAUGGCUGAGCUGUCAAAGCCCCUGGCAGUGUGUUUCUCCACUCCCUCCACGACUGCCUCUCUCCAAGCAUACAGCAUUUCCUCCGUGAACGAACUUACCCUCAGCCUUCCUCAGAGGCCUUCACUGUUGAACCAGUCCUCAGGGUGCCCAUCGUCUUUCCUCUGGAUGCCUACCACAGCAUGGCUUGCCAAGUGCUGCGCAGGUCUAUACCUGGGAUCUGAACUGGCGAACCCUGGGCCGCUGAAUGAGAACAAGUGAACUUAACUUCUGCGCCACUGGGCUGGCCCCUCAAUCUGUAUCAUUUUUACCAUCAUUUAUCCUUGUCAUCAGUUUGUCAUAGUAACUCUCCUUUUGCUCCUUGUGCAUGGUCCUUGUGCAUGUGAUCUUCGGGAUGCUGAGGAAUGAUAGUUGACUCUCCUCUCAAUCACAACCACCUUCCUGUUACCUCCUAACUGGAUCUGGCUUUCCCUGAAGUCUGCCAUGGGGAGGAGAUGACGUGUUAGAGGAUGCGCGGUGCUUGGUCUGUCUCAGUGUCUGCAUCAGUACCUCUCUGCCUCUGAUGCCUUGAUUUGCCCUUUGCUCAGACUUAAUGCUCUCACAGGCCACAGAGUGACUGCAGGCGAGGGAAGCAGUAGGGACCCUGCAAAACUUCCUCCCUCAUACCAUGCUCCCCAUUGUACCCCAUCCUCUUGCUGCUAUGUGGGUGCUGUUGUGAUUGCAGUUUGUAUAUUAAAGUAUUGUCAUAUUAAAUAUAUUUUGUUGGUCUAACAAUAAAAAACACUUCAUCCAAAAAAACAAAAUGAGCCACAUGGUCCAGUCAAAGACCCUCUCUUCAAUCUCUCCAUACCACAGGCACAGUUUCUUUGCCAAGAUUGCUGGCGUCUAACAUCUAAAGUCUAGCAUCCCUAAGCUCAUAUUUAGUACUCACCAUAAGAAAGGUGCCAGAUUUGACUAGGGCUUCAAUUCCCAUGACUGGGGCAACUGGCAGUAGUGUUUGUUCUCGCAGCCUUUGGAGAACACCUUCCCCACUGGGCCAUUCGUGAUAAGGCCACCGUCACUGACUCACUUCCCUCCUGCUUAUCUGGGGCAGUUCCAGCUCCAUUUCCUGAUAGGACAAAACAAAAACAAAAACACCUUUUAAAUGAAGACUUUUGAGGAGGUUUUCUCUAUAACACACUCGUUAAUCACAGGGUAUAUGUGUGUUUGUGUGUGUAUUUAGGGGAUGUGGGAAGGGUUGGCAAUGGCAUCAAAGGCAGGUAUACUGUGAAGUGAAAGAAGUUUAAGCUUCAGCACUCCACUUUUACAAAGUCUCCUUCCAAAGCCCUGAAAAGACCUUAGCAAUUUGUUCACCUGGAAGUCACAUUCCAGUAAAAUUUACAAAAGAUCAAAGAAUUUACCACAAUUGGUUUAAUGACCAUCUCUUUCCUUUCUGAUAGCUAGGUAGAUUCCCCUCAAGCAUGAGGUGUGUAGAAUAGAGGGUGUUGGUAGAAAGCAUGAGAGUAAGGGAGGCUAUUUCGGAGAUCUGGUUAAAGGGAGUUAAGUUUGGCAGAGUCGAGUCUGUUUUGGUGGUUUGCAGCAUAUCUCUGUACAGCUACAUUAUUGCUAGCGUGGUUUCACAGGCUCGUCAGUAACAGGAGUGAGAAGCUGAAACUUUUCUCAAUUCUCAAUAGUAAAAGAAUCCAAUUUAGACCAAACUUCUAGAGAAGUGACUGAAUUACUUUUAUUUCCUCUGUACAUAACAAUAUCAUAAAAUCCUUUUUAUAUGAAAAAGAUGAUCAAAGAGUAAACAACAGAAAGAUAAAGGGGUGAAAAGUAAUAUAGAGAUGGUUUGGGUAAUAAAAAAUGCCUUUUUUCUGGGUUUUGUGAUGUUUUGCUGUUCUUUAAAAUCUGUAAUUUGUUGUAAUUUCUUUUCUUAUUCUAAAUAAAUCUUCACUUUCAAACUUCA
This is a long non-coding RNA of Equus caballus (horse), 2485 nucleotides long. NCBI's taxonomy places the organism in Eukaryota, Metazoa, Chordata, Mammalia, Perissodactyla, Equidae. The record is from Ensembl.